UAGUAACUGCGAGUGAAGCGGGAAAAGCUCAAAUUUAAAAUCUGGCGGUCUUUGGCCGUCCGAGUUGUAAUCUAGAGAAGUGUUAUCCGCGCUGGACCGUGUACAAGUCUCCUGGAAUGGAGCGUCAUAGAGGGUGAGAAUCCCGUCUUUGACACGGACUGCCAGGGCUUUGUGAUGCGCUCUCAAAGAGUCGAGUUGUUUGGGAAUGCAGCUCAAAAUGGGUGGUAAAUUCCAUCUAAAGCUAAAUAUUGGCGAGAGACCGAUAGCGAACAAGUACCGUGAGGGAAAGAUGAAAAGAACUUUGGAAAGAGAGUUAAACAGUACGUGAAAUUGCUGAAAGGGAAACGCUUGAAGUCAGUCGCGUUGGCCGGGAAUCAACCUUGCUUUUGCUGGGCGUACUUUCCGGUUGACGGGUCAACAUCAAUUUUGACCGUUGGAUAAAGGCUGAGGGAAUGUGGCUUCUUCGGGAGUGUUAUAGCCCUUGGUCGCAUACAACGGUUGGGAUUGAGGAACUCAGCACGCCGCAAGGCCGGGUACUUGUACCACGUUCGUGCUUAGGAUGUUGGCAUAAUGGCUUUAAUCGACCCGUCUUGAA
This 595-nucleotide ribosomal RNA is filed under the name Psilocybe cubensis. RNAcentral's name for it is "eukaryotic LSU rRNA". It matches the Rfam family "Eukaryotic large subunit ribosomal RNA", at positions 81 to 658 of the family's 3401-position model. Lineage: Eukaryota; Fungi; Basidiomycota; Agaricomycetes; Agaricales; Agrocybaceae. The record is from RNAcentral.